UGAAAAUUUCAUCCAGUUGAAAA
This 23-nucleotide small nuclear RNA is filed under the name Arabidopsis thaliana (thale cress). RNAcentral describes it as "snRNA_15329". Lineage: Eukaryota; Viridiplantae; Streptophyta; Magnoliopsida; Brassicales; Brassicaceae. The record is from RNAcentral.